This 585-nucleotide ribosomal RNA is filed under the name uncultured fungus. RNAcentral's name for it is "eukaryotic LSU rRNA". It matches the Rfam family "Eukaryotic large subunit ribosomal RNA", at positions 24 to 664 of the family's 3401-position model. Lineage: Eukaryota; Fungi. The record is from RNAcentral.
CCCGCUGAACUUAAGCAUAUAAUUAAGCGGAGGAAAAGAAACUAACUAGGAUUCCCUCAGUAGUGGCGAGCGAAGCGGGAAGAGCCCAAACCGUAAAUCAACAGUCUCGUACUGUUGAGUUGAGGUUUUGCUGAAUGACCAGACAAGUGUCAGGGUUAAGCCUCGUGGAUGCGAGCGUCAAAGAGGGUGAGGACCCCGUCCUUACUCUGAACAACUUGUCGGACGGUCUUCAGCUUAUGAGUCGUGUUCCUUGGGAGUGGAGCGCAAAUCGGGUGGUAGCUUUCAUCCACGGCUAGAUAUUGAAAAGACGCCGAUAGUGAAGAAGUACCGUGAGGGAAAGAUGAAAAGAACCUCGAAAGGGGGAUUAAAAUUGCCUGAAACCGUUGAAAGGGAACCGAUUGGAGAUUUAUUUGCCAUGCUCAAGAAGCUUUCGGGCUCUUGGCUUGCAAGCUGGUUAGGUCGAAAUCUAUUACGGGAGCUUCAACUGUACAUGUGCUCUGCAGAUGUGUUGUGGUUUUCAGUGUAGAUUUUGGCGAGUGAUGUAACCAUCGCAAACAUCUUCAAACGACCCGUCUUGAAACACGG